RNAcentral lists this ribosomal RNA (491 nucleotides) under Trigonopterus binodulus. RNAcentral describes it as "SSU rRNA". The record is from RNAcentral. Lineage: Eukaryota; Metazoa; Arthropoda; Insecta; Coleoptera; Curculionidae.
GUCAUAKGCUUGUCUCAAAGAUUAAGCCAUGCAUGUCUCAGUACAAGCCAAAUUAAGGUGAAACCGCGAAAGGCUCAUUAAAUCAGUUAUGGUUCCUUAGAUCGUACCCACAAUUACUUGGAUAACUGUGGUAAUUCUAGAGCUAAUACAUGCAAACAGAGCUCCGACCGGAGACGGAAGGAGUGCUUUUAUUAGAUCAAAACCAAUCGGUGGCGGGUUCGCGCUCGUUAUCGUACAACUUGGUGACUCUGAAUAACUUUACGCUGAUCGCACGGUCAUCGCACCGGCGACGCAUCUUUCAAAUGUCUGCCUUAUCAACUGUCGAUGGUAGGUUCUGCGCCUACCAUGGUUGUAACGGGUAACGGGGAAUCAGGGUUCGAUUCCGGAGAGGGAGCCUGAGAAACGGCUACCACAUCCAAGGAAGGCAGCAGGCGCGCAAAUUACCCACUCCCGGCACGGGGAGGUAGUGACGAAAAAUAACGAUACGGGAC